Molecule: long non-coding RNA, 2528 nt
Organism: Mustela lutreola (European mink)
Lineage: Eukaryota; Metazoa; Chordata; Mammalia; Carnivora; Mustelidae
Exons: 4
Source: RefSeq, a predicted model, not a curated record
GGGCGCAGCCGGAAGUGCGGGCCGCACGCCGGAAGUGCCGGAACUACGCCGGCAUCGUCCACAGGCGUUCACAGGGAGCGUGGCAAGCUGCGGAGCAGGAUGUCCCUGAGGCGCCCGGCCGGCCUGCGCCCAGCCGCCUGCUCCCCCAGGCCGGCUGCCAAGGCGCUGAGAGAGCUCGGCUAAGAACCCCCCACGCCUUACAGCUCAGCCCGUUGAAUCACCCCGUGACUCUUUUUCGAGCCCCGCGUUGGUGGGUGCCACGGGCGGCUGCGCACUUCGCCUUCAUUGGCGUGGCUUAGGCGGCAGAGCUGGGCUUAGGUCCUGCGGCCUGCGGGACGGACUUGCUCCAGAGUCUGCAGAGCCCACGCCCCCGAGGCCGCGAGAGAGGGAAGUGCGUGCGCCCGGUGUGCUGACGGCUCUGCGCGGUGCUCCCUGAUUCCGAGGAACUGCCGUCCAAGCUCCUUCACGCUCACAUUGAGAGGAUCUCCGUUCCCCAGGGUGGUUGGAAAAAUGAAUCGGAGUCCACCACGUCUCCUUCUCAGGGCUGAUGUGUGGUGGGACCAGAGGCCGAAGCGGUUAGCACAGCCGGCCUGCUGGGCACUCUCAGACGGGAGCACACCCGGGAGUUUGCCAGUGGCCAGGGAGGCCUUGCUGAAAUGUCCUUGGCAGUGUCGGCACUCGGGCCCGAAGGACAGGAGCGUCAAGGGGCUACUGAUGGUGAGGGGUCACUCCGGGAGGUUCUCAUCUGGGAGUGAGCUGGGAGCAGACCCCCAUUGGAAAUAAGCGAGGCGGACGGUUCGCACAGGACGGAAGCCAGGGCUCCGGCUUGGAUCCUCCUGGAACGGCCAAUGUAGAGGCCCACGUGGCCGCAGGGAGCCUGGGAAGGUGAGCCGUCAUCAGGAAGCAUGGCCGCCCCAACAAGCUCAGGGUCCUCUCAGGGAACAAGGGGGUAUGGUGGACAUGUGUUGGCUGACGUGGCUGUCCCCACCGUCCUGGGAUGUGAUGACCAUUUUCAUUUUCAUAAUUUGACGGAGGAGGAGAUUAAGGGACAGGCAAGCCAGGUCAUUUCUUUCCUGAAGACUACCUAAUAGACGGGGAACCGUAUCUCUGUGAGACCAUAGGCAACCUGAGAGCAGGACUGUGUGUUUGUCCUUUGCCCUGUGUAGCUGUGACCCCAUCACCAGACAGAAUGUCACUUGGAUCGAUGCCUGAUCGAAUGCCACGUUGAUGGCCCAGUAAAGUCCCGUGCAUGUCUCAGGCUUCCCCGUCCUCCCUCUCAGAGGAAAGAGUUCCAGAAGCCUCCCCAUGCCGGCAUGCAGUUCCUCUGGGCCCAGGCAGCGUGGGUGUGCCGGGAGGACCAGUUUCGGCCGACUGCCAUCCCAGCCACGUUCAGCUGAGCUCACCAGGACCGAACAAGGCCCGAAGUGUCUCAAAGAGUGUUUUUAACAAGUUGUAAAUAAUAUCUCACCAAGUCCCAUCGCUGCCUAGAAUUGAUGCAGCUGGUGAGAAGUAGUCAUGAUCCCGUGAAUCAUUUGUCCAUUUACAAGAACAUUUCAUUCACCUCCUUCCAGAAGGAUGCACAGAACACGCUUUAAAAGAAGGCGUAACUGGAACUGACAUAUGGGAAGGCUGUGUUGCAUUCCAGUUCCUCACUGGCUCAUGCGGUGUGUGCAGAAGAAGGGAUACUCGUAAUUACUGGGGAUUUUUAAAAAAAUAGAGAUAAUUUGUCUUAAGAAGAAACAUGGGCAUCUGCAGAAUGAUGACUUUGUCUCCCCGUGGUCUGCUCUUGGGUCAGAAACGUGGCCAGUACCCUGCCAUGUGAUUGCUGGCUUCUGGCCCUACUCUCUCACUCUCGAAGAAAGGGCGUAUGUCUCAGCCUCCUGCAGAACCACCCCGUUCUUGCCUCUUGUCGCCCCUGCUAAGGCUGAGCAUGGAUCUCCGUAUGUUGGCACGUGAACUAAGGAUUAAGCCUCUGGAAGAAAGUCAGAAUAUCUCUAAUGGGGAAGUCUUUCCUGCUACAGCGACCAUCCCUAUGACAGUUGGGCUUAAGGAGGAAGGGGGGGAGCUUGGAUGACCAGGGUUGCAUCAGCCCGCAAACCGAGCAGCCACGCCACGUAACAAAGCAUCCGACCCUCAGUGACUUGAGACAAAGGCUAUUUCUUCUCAUGACCAGGGUUCUGCGGGUUCACCUCGCUACAGCUGAUCUGGGCUACCCUCAUUCUGGGGCGGGCGAGCGGGGCAUGGCUUUAGGCUCCUGAAUAGACUUGGGUCUUUUCCUCAGCUUUCUGCAGAGGCCAUAUCUGAAGUGGCGCCUCUGCCUGGUGCAUAACCUUCUCGGGGGAUCCCAGGAAUGAAAGCUUGCCCAACUCCAGGGCACAAGGACAUGGCAAGCCUCUGGAGGCAUUGCAUCAAGAAUAUCUCAUUAGCCCAGACAGGUCACAUGGUCCACCCAUGUGGACCACCAUGGUGCACCUCCCUCCCAAGGGCAGGGAGGGAGCAGGCCCUGGCCUUGGGGCUCUGGGGAUGGG